Molecule: long non-coding RNA, 300 nt
Organism: Ostrinia nubilalis (European corn borer)
Lineage: Eukaryota; Metazoa; Arthropoda; Insecta; Lepidoptera; Crambidae
Exons: 3
Source: RefSeq, a predicted model, not a curated record
GGCGCCUGCCCUUGCGGCGACGUGGCGCCCGCGCGAUGCUCGCAGUGCGGCCUGGAGCAGUACUGCGCCAACAUGUGCAACAUAACCAUCGACUCGCGCGUCCUCAAGACCAAGUCAGGGAAGACGUUCGGGCAGAUCAAGUCGCCGUCGAUAGAGGGCCCUGGCGCCUGUUCGUACUUCCUCCAACCUGACGCCGGCCAGCGGGUAGAGAUACAGCUCUACCGGCUGGUCUCUGUUGGGAGGUUCAAUGGCAGUAGCUGCGUCGGCGGCUGGAUCCAGCUGGGCGGCGCUACGGCCGUG